UCAGCCUCUUGAGACACAUUGCCUGUAAAC
Molecule: non-coding RNA, 30 nt
Filed under: Rattus norvegicus (Norway rat)
Lineage: Eukaryota; Metazoa; Chordata; Mammalia; Rodentia; Muridae
Source: RNAcentral